GCUCGCUUCGGCAGUACGUAUACUAAAAUUGGAACGAUACAGAGAUUAGCAUGGCCCCUGAUCAAGGAUGACACGCAAAUUCAUGAAGCGUUCCAUAUGUUU
Molecule: small nuclear RNA, 102 nt
Organism: Dama dama (fallow deer)
Lineage: Eukaryota; Metazoa; Chordata; Mammalia; Artiodactyla; Cervidae
Source: RefSeq, a predicted model, not a curated record